This 959-nucleotide small RNA is filed under the name uncultured Gemmatimonas sp. RNAcentral describes it as "bacterial SSU rRNA". The stretch from base 1 to 472 matches the Rfam family "Bacterial small subunit ribosomal RNA", at positions 1064 to 1533 of the family's 1533-position model. Lineage: Bacteria; Pseudomonadati; Gemmatimonadota; Gemmatimonadia; Gemmatimonadales; Gemmatimonadaceae. The record is from RNAcentral.
GUCGUGAGAUGUUGGGUUAAGUCCCGCAACGAGCGCAACCCCCGUUUUCAGUUGCCAGCGGGUAAUGCCGGGGACUCUGGAAAGACUGCCGGUGCUAAACCGGAGGAAGGUGGGGACGACGUCAAGUCAUCAUGGUCCUUACGUCUAGGGCUACACACGUGCUACAAUGGCCGGUACAGCGGGUCGCAAAUGCGCAAGCAUGAGCCAAUCCCCAAAGCCGGCCUCAGUGCGGAUUGGAGGCUGCAACUCGCCUCCAUGAAGCUGGAAUCGCUAGUAAUCGUGGAUCAGCUACGCCACGGUGAAUACGUUCCCGGGCCUUGUACACACCGCCCGUCACGCCAUGGAAGCUGUGAGCGCCCGAAGUCCGUGUCGGAACCCGCAAGGGACCAAGCGGCCGAAGGCGAGCGCAGUGACUGGGGCGAAGUCGUAACAAGGUAGCCGUAGGGGAACCUGCGGCUGGAUCACCUCCUUAACGGAUUAUGAGUAGGUAGCCGGCACCAUUGGUCUACUGAAAGAAAUCUUGUAGUCGCUCUGCACGUACAUCUCAUCCAACUCGAUUGUUAGCUGGACGCCACCGCCCACAAGGCGGUGUUUGCGUCAGUGCUAUUUGACAACGGAACGAAUGGUAGAUCGUGGGAUGGAAGAAUCACACGAGCAAGCAAAGAGCUGAUGCUGCAAAGCAUCUGAGUUUUGAGUGCUCACUCGUGAACAAAAAGAACGAAGCGGUUGCGCCGGGUUUGCGUCCGGAGAGCGCCGUUAUGAGCGUGCUCUGCUUGGAUACAUGGAUCGAGAAGCGGCGAAAGCAUUGUUGUCCCGAUGAGGCGAUGCGACGUCUAUUUCUUUUGUAGUCAAGCGAGCGAUAGCAUGUGGAGGAUGCCUGGGCACACAGAGGCGAUGAAGGCCGUGGUAAGCUGCGAUAGGCCAGGGGGAGCGGCACACACGCACUGAUCCCUGGAUGG